CUGCCCUUAUGAAUGGAUUAGUAUCAUUAUUGCAGGAGUGGCUUCAUGAUGGAGAGAGUGGAUUUGUCAUGAAAGUGAGUUCGGCCAUUCCUUGCUGUCUCACGUGCCACCUCUUGCCAUGGGAUGCCCUCGCCAUGGGAUGACAGCAAGAAGGCCCUUGCUUGAGUGAGCCCCUCCAUCUUCGGCUCUCCGGCCUCCAGGACUGUUAGAAAUACAUCUCUGUUCUUUGUAAAUUACCCAGGCUGUAGUACUCUGUUAUAGCAACACAAAACAGACUAAGACACUACUAUGUAGAUGAAGAAACAGGCCCAAGAGGUGAGGAGUGUUGUCCAGGUCUUCUGGCCAGAGGAGCGGCAGAGAUGGGAUUUCAACCCUGGGACUGUGUGGCUUGUGACCACUCCUAGCUUCAGCCCUGCCCGGUGCUGAGGGGUUUGGGGCCAGAACGAUGGCCAGAUGUUUGGGCACACUGGGCCCUACCCACCUGGAAAGAGGCUGGCCUGGGGUUGAAUGAGAACCAGAAGUGACUCAGGCUAGGACCCCUCUGCACCCUCCCUCAGGCCGUGGGUAAUUACCUGCCCAGGUUAAUAGCGCCCACUUCCCGCCACCUUUCAUCAAGGCUCCUGGAGCUGCCAGGCAGUAAUUAACCCUCACAGCACCCUUCUGAAGUCAGCACUGGAGGCAGACGUGUGAUGAAACACGUUUAUUACAGGAAGCACCAGUUAGCCCAGAUGCUUCUCAUCUUUGGAGUUGAGCUGCAGGCUGGAGACCUGGAAGGCCCUCGCAGCGCCUGCUCCCAUCCUCUCACCUCACGAAAGCGCAGGAAUCUCCAUGAGGGCAGGGGAUUUUGUCUGUUUCAUUCACAAUGUGUUCCCAGAGCUCAGCACAGUGUCAGGCACACACUAGGAUGGCCUGGGCAUGAGUUUCUUCAAGGACUCGGGUAGCAGUGAAAUCCCUGGGACCCUAGCCUCAGUACCUCCCCAGGCAAUGGGGUAGAGAGCAAGAAGGCAGGUGAGCAAGGACCAGCCUCCGCCACGCAGACACCCUCUUUCCGGCUUCUCUGUCCUCCUACUUUGCCCUGGGUUUGUGGACUUACUCUGGGCAGAUCUCCACGACCAACCACCCCCUCCCUUGGCAUGUCUGUCAGCACCCUUGGGGGAAAGAAUUUGGAAAGGGGAGGGAGAAAAAGAAAGCAGGGUGCGAGGGGCUGGUUCCCACACCUGUGUAAAUAAUUUGUCAUCUUAAAAUGCUCAAGUAUGCUCACCUUUAA
Molecule: long non-coding RNA, 1267 nt
Filed under: Homo sapiens (human)
Lineage: Eukaryota; Metazoa; Chordata; Mammalia; Primates; Hominidae
Description: HSALNT0268616
Source: RNAcentral